CCCCUGGUGGUCUAGUGGUUAGGAUGCAGCGCUCUCACUGCCAUGGCCUGGGUUCGAUUCCCGGUCAGGGAA
Molecule: transfer RNA, 72 nt
Filed under: Manacus vitellinus (golden-collared manakin)
Lineage: Eukaryota; Metazoa; Chordata; Aves; Passeriformes; Pipridae
Rfam family: tRNA
About the family: Transfer RNA (tRNA) molecules are approximately 80 nucleotides in length. Their secondary structure includes four short double-helical elements and three loops (D, anti-codon, and T loops).
Source: Rfam by way of RNAcentral